Molecule: ribosomal RNA, 253 nt
Filed under: uncultured bacterium
Lineage: Bacteria
Description: partial 16S ribosomal RNA
Rfam family: Bacterial small subunit ribosomal RNA
Source: RNAcentral
GACGUAGGGCGCAAGCGUUGUCCGGAUUUAUUGGGCGUAAAGAGCUCGUAGGCGGCUUGCCACGUCUGCCGUGAAAACCAGCAGCUUAACUGUUGGCUUGCGGUUGAUACGGGUUGGCUUGAGUCCGGGAGGGGCGAGUGGAAUUCCUGGUGUAGCGGUGAAAUGCGCAGAUAUCAGGAGGAACACCAAUGGCGAAGGCAGCUCGCUGGAACGGUACUGACGCUGAGGCGCGAAAGCGUGGGGAGCGAACAGG